RNAcentral lists this long non-coding RNA (355 nucleotides) under Equus caballus (horse). RNAcentral describes it as "lncRNA (ENSECAG00000059126.1)". Lineage: Eukaryota; Metazoa; Chordata; Mammalia; Perissodactyla; Equidae. The record is from RNAcentral.
CUGGGACCUGAAGAAGCAAUUGCGUGUAACUCUGGAGAGGCCUCUUGAGGAUGCUCACCUGUGCCUUAGCAGAAAUGAGGUUUCAUCGGAGGCCUGGUUGUCACAGCAGACAGCCUCACACAGUGAAGAGAGCGGGAGCCUGAGAAUCAGCCAGACCUGAGGUUAAGUCCUGGCUUGCCCGCUUUCAAGAUGUUUGCUCUGCCACAGACAUUGGCUUCUCAAAUAAAUCCUGUCCAUUUGGUCACCCUUUUCUCCAUCCACCUAUGGCACAGGCUUUGGAGACUCUGCUGUUUAUCUUUUUGUUAAAGUCAGAGACUGCUGCCUUGAUUAUACACAUCACAAUUUUUUCCUUAAG